RNAcentral lists this unclassified non-coding RNA (473 nucleotides) under Ceratocarpus arenarius. RNAcentral describes it as "partial contains external transcribed spacer and small subunit ribosomal RNA". The stretch from base 370 to 473 matches the Rfam family "Eukaryotic small subunit ribosomal RNA", at positions 1 to 103 of the family's 1831-position model. Lineage: Eukaryota; Viridiplantae; Streptophyta; Magnoliopsida; Caryophyllales; Amaranthaceae. The record is from RNAcentral.
CACACCGACAGACCUCUUCAGUGUUUGCUCCAAGUGCCACGAGCCUUGGGCGGGUUAAAGGUUUUCUGUGUUGCAUGCCUAUCAACGGUAUUGGUUCCCGAUAACUUCCUCCUCCGUCCGGCAUCCUCACGGGUGCUGGGUGGACCUACGUAGCCUGGUCCGUCUUCCAACCACGGUGCAACCGUUGGCCUGGGAUACGGAACCUGGCUGUGCCCCGGGAUGCAGAAAGUUGUGUGGGGGUGGUUCACUCGUCGCAUGCCCAAUGAAGCGUUUUACGCUCAGCACGGACGACUGCCGCGGACGAGUUGACGCCUCCUCUCCCCUAGGGGAGGGGGGCGCUCAUGCGUCCCGGCGUCGAACGAGGAGUGCUACCUGGUUGAUCCUGCCAGUAGUCAUAUGCUUGUCUCAAAGAUUAAGCCAUGCAUGUGUAAGUAUGAACAAAUUCAGACUGUGAAACUGCGAAUGGCUCAUUA